GGCUGGAUAGCUCAGUCGGUAGAGCACGAGACUCUUAAUCUCAGGGCUGUGGGUUCAAACCCCACAUUGGGCA
This 73-nucleotide transfer RNA is filed under the name Podarcis lilfordi (Lilford's wall lizard). RNAcentral describes it as "tRNA.Lys". It matches the Rfam family "tRNA". Rfam says of the family: Transfer RNA (tRNA) molecules are approximately 80 nucleotides in length. Their secondary structure includes four short double-helical elements and three loops (D, anti-codon, and T loops). Lineage: Eukaryota; Metazoa; Chordata; Lepidosauria; Squamata; Lacertidae. The record is from RNAcentral.